Molecule: transfer RNA, 73 nt
Filed under: Fidelibacterota bacterium
Lineage: Bacteria; Pseudomonadati; Fidelibacterota
Also listed under: 1 other name
Description: Candidatus Marinimicrobia bacterium tRNA-Lys
Rfam family: tRNA
About the family: Transfer RNA (tRNA) molecules are approximately 80 nucleotides in length. Their secondary structure includes four short double-helical elements and three loops (D, anti-codon, and T loops).
Source: RNAcentral
GCCUCGAUAGCUCAAUUGGUAGAGCAGCGGCCUCUUAAGCCGACGGUUGUAGGUUCGAGUCCUACUCGGGGUA